RNAcentral lists this ribosomal RNA (253 nucleotides) under uncultured bacterium. RNAcentral's name for it is "partial 16S ribosomal RNA". It matches the Rfam family "Bacterial small subunit ribosomal RNA", at positions 524 to 776 of the family's 1533-position model. The record is from RNAcentral.
UACGUAGGGUGCGAGCGUUGUCCGGAAUUAUUGGGCGUAAAGAGCUUGUAGGCGGUUUGUCGCGUCUGCCGUGAAAAUUCGAGGCUCAACCUCGAACUUGCGGUGGGUACGGGCAGACUAGAGUGUGGUAGGGGAGACUGGAAUUCCUGGUGUAGCGGUGAAAUGCGCAGAUAUCAGGAGGAACACCGGUGGCGAAGGCGGGUCUCUGGGCCGAUACUGACGCUGAGGAGCGAAAGCGUGGGGAGCGAACAGG